CCUAGACAUGGAUCUGUCCGAAGUACUUGACUACAUUCAGGGAUGGAUCUUCCCUUGGUAUGGAGAUGGAUCUUCAACAUGAGGCUGGAUUGGCAUGUUUCCUCGGUACUAGGUGCCUUAUAGUCAGUAAUGUAUAUAUUCUGGGAUAGAUCUUCCCUUGGCCAUAUGGGCCAUAUAUAAUACCGAGUGGUUGAUUAUGAUGAGUGGAAGAUCCCGGAUACCAAUGUUGCUGCAUUCGAUGGUUGCUGGAUUUGAAGGUGUACCUGCAUCCUUGAUGUAGCUGCCUCUUGUUCAUGUUUCGAGCCAUUCGAAGGUCGGAACAUGCGUGAUGGGAUUCUUGGAGCAUCGCUUGGCUUGCUCAGUAUCGGAAUUGGCUUGUUUAAGAUAAGUAACUCUUCUAAAAUUAGUG
Molecule: non-coding RNA, 409 nt
Organism: Nicotiana tabacum (common tobacco)
Lineage: Eukaryota; Viridiplantae; Streptophyta; Magnoliopsida; Solanales; Solanaceae
Source: RefSeq, a predicted model, not a curated record